UACGUAGGGUGCAAGCGUUAAUCGGAGUUACUGGGCGUAAAGGGUGUGUAGGCGGUUCUCUAAGUCUGGUGUGAAAUCUCCCGGCUCAACUGGGAGGGUGCGCCGGAAACUGGAGAGCUAGAGUACUGGAUGGGAGAGUGGAAUUCCAGGUGUAGCGGUGAAAUGCGUAGAUAUCUGGAGGAACACCGGUGGCGAAGGCGGCAUCCUGGACCAACACUGACACUGAUGAGCGAAAGCCAGGGGAGCAAACGGG
RNAcentral lists this ribosomal RNA (253 nucleotides) under uncultured bacterium. RNAcentral's name for it is "partial 16S ribosomal RNA". It matches the Rfam family "Bacterial small subunit ribosomal RNA", at positions 524 to 776 of the family's 1533-position model. The record is from RNAcentral.